RNAcentral lists this long non-coding RNA (460 nucleotides) under Parus major (Great Tit). Its description in RNAcentral is "lncRNA (ENSPMJG00000015338.1)". Lineage: Eukaryota; Metazoa; Chordata; Aves; Passeriformes; Paridae. The record is from RNAcentral.
AAAAAUAUCCGUCUGGAGGAGUUUUUGCCUUUGUUUCUUCUGGUGAAGGAGCAGAUGGGCAGGAGCUUCAGCUCCUCUCCUUAUCCCAAGGGACCAUCCUCGGGGGGAAAAAGAAGCAGGAUGCUCUUUAAAGUUGGUAAAUAAGAUCUCAAUUUGAAUCCACCUCUGUUGAUACGAGUCUGCUGAGAAGAUGAAAAUCAGUCGUUUGCCUGGAGCCACCACUGUCCCAGGCAGGGUCUGUGUGGAGGAGGCUCGGGGUGCAGCGCUGCUAUUUAUACAGCACCGGGAAGCGCUGCGAGGUUGUGCUUGGCGGGGUGAAGAGCUUGUGAUCUCGGAGCACUUUGGGAUGUCAGACACUCCUGAGUUCUGCUUCGUGUGGCAGGAAAAGACUUCAGGAUGUUCCCUUCGUUUUGUGGUGUGGCAGAGCAGGGAAAAUUCACCCAAUGAUGGGCACUGCUAG